RNAcentral lists this ribosomal RNA (253 nucleotides) under uncultured bacterium. RNAcentral describes it as "partial 16S ribosomal RNA". It matches the Rfam family "Bacterial small subunit ribosomal RNA", at positions 524 to 776 of the family's 1533-position model. The record is from RNAcentral.
UACGUAGGGUGCGAGCGUUAUUCGGAAUUACUGGGCGUAAAGCGUGCGCAGGCGGUUUUGUAAGCCAGAUGUGAAAUCCCCGGGCUUAACCUGGGAAUGGCAUUUGGGACUGCAAGGCUUGAGUUUGGCAGAGGAGACUGGAAUUCCUGGUGUAGCAGUGAAAUGCGUAGAUAUCAGGAGGAAUACCGAUGGCGAAGGCAGGUCUCUGGGCUGAAACUGACGCUCAUGCACGAAAGCGUGGGGAGCAAACAGG